Molecule: long non-coding RNA, 875 nt
Organism: Portunus trituberculatus (swimming crab)
Lineage: Eukaryota; Metazoa; Arthropoda; Malacostraca; Decapoda; Portunidae
Exons: 3
Source: RefSeq, a predicted model, not a curated record
UUAGCCUAUGUAUAAGUCAAGCCAAUUACUUCGUCUAGGAACAUUUGUAGCAUGUACAACAAUGAUUUAGCGACCUUUUUGCGGCUUUUCAAGGUGGAUCUGGUGAGUUAGAAUAUUUCUAUUUGGCAACUGCCCACCACCACCACAAUCAGUGACCAGACGUCCAUUUCCUCACCAGACACGAGACCUGGGAACACGGUGACCGCCCCACUUGCCCCACCUAGUCCACCAGCUCCACCUGCUCAGUGAAAGGGUGACAACAGGCAGAAUGAGAUGGACUUGGCGGAGGCUGUGGGCGGUCAAUUCACGGCGCAGAUUACCUACACCUUGCACCACGCUGAUUGCUCGCCGCUCUUCACUAAAGUCGGGCAAGCCUGUAUCUCCGUGUUUUGCCCUGGAUAUAGGAGUAAAUUGGACCGUUCGCACUCACGUUCGUGUUCCCAUGGGACAAGUAAAACACCAAAAGAAAGAACUAGUCUCGAUAACCUGGCGUAGUAGCAAUACACUACGAGGAAACAUCCUUGCCUAACACCCCUGAGUGGUUGUUAUAUCACUCAUCCUCCGUCACUGGUGGUGUGACUUCCACUAGUGUUGAAAGAGAGAAAGGGAUGGGACCGAUAGCGGAGCGAGAGCAGACCGUACAUGUGAAUGCACCAGGACCUUGACCAGAGCGAGAGCGGAGCAAUAGCAUAGCGAGAGCGAGGCGAGAACUUAGCGAUAGUGUGAAUCAAGCCUUAGCCUCAGAAGAUGAGGGGGCUUCGGCGCCGCGUCGGGAGCAAGCUUAGCUAGUGUAGUGUAGUGGUGUUCACUACAUGUGUGUGUGUGUGUGUGUGUGUGUGUGUGUGUGUGUGUGUGUGUGUAUGUGUGUGUGUGGG